AUUGAACGCUGGCGGCAGGCCUAACACAUGCAAGUCGAGCGGAUGAAGGGAGCUUGCUCCUGGAUUCAGCGGCGGACGGGUGAGUAAUGCCUAGGAAUCUGCCUGGUAGUGGGGGAUAACGUCCGGAGACGGGCGCUAAUACCGCAUACGUCCUGAGGGAGAAAGUGGGGGAUCUUCGGACCUCACGCUAUCAGAUGAGCUUAGGUCGGAUUAGCUAGUUGGUGGGGUAAAGGCCUACCAAGGCGACGAUCCGUAACUGGUCUGAGAGGAUGAUCAGUCACACUGGAACUGAGACACGGUCCAGACUCCUGCGGGAGGCAGCAGUGGGGAAUAUUGGACAAUGGGCGAAAGCCUGAUCCAGCCAUGCCGCGUGUGUGAAGAAGGUCUUCGGAUUGUAAAGCACUUUAAGUUGGGAGGAAGGGCAGUAAGUUAAUACCUUGCUGUUUUGACGUUACCAACAGAAUAAGCACCGGCUAACUUCGUG
Molecule: ribosomal RNA, 484 nt
Filed under: uncultured bacterium
Lineage: Bacteria
Description: partial 16S ribosomal RNA
Rfam family: Bacterial small subunit ribosomal RNA
Source: RNAcentral